Molecule: ribosomal RNA, 252 nt
Filed under: uncultured bacterium
Lineage: Bacteria
Description: partial 16S ribosomal RNA
Rfam family: Bacterial small subunit ribosomal RNA
Source: RNAcentral
UACAGAGGGUGCAAGCGUUAAUCGGAAUUACUGGGCGUAAAGGGUGCGUAGGUGGUUGGCUAAGUGAGGUGUGAAAGUCCCGGGCUCAACCUGGAAAGUCAUUUCAUACUGGUCGACUUGAGUAGGGUAGAGGGAGGUGGAAUUUCCGGCGUAGCGGUGAAAUGCGUAGAUUUCGGAAGGAACACCGGUGGCGAAGGCGGCCUCCUGGACCCAUACUGACACUGAGGCACGAAAGCGUGGGUAGCAAACAGG